Balearica regulorum gibbericeps (East African grey crowned-crane) is the source of this 304-nucleotide non-coding RNA. NCBI's taxonomy places the organism in Eukaryota, Metazoa, Chordata, Aves, Gruiformes, Gruidae. The record is from RefSeq and is a predicted model, not a curated record.
GAUAUCUACAAAAGUCUUCCUGAUUUAAUAGAUGAAACUGGUGUUGAUGAAGAUGAAGAGUUGUAUGAUUGUGUCUAUGGAGAAGAUGAAGGUGGGGAGGUUUAUGAAGACCUAAUGAAAGAUGAAGCAGCACAGCAACCUAAAUAUACUGAAAAUGACAUAAGAAGCUGUUGUCUUGCUGAAAUAAAGCAAACUGAAGAGAAAUACACUGAAACUCUGGAAUCGAUAGAGAAAUUUUUCAUGGUGCCAUUGAAAAGGUUUCUGUCAGCAUCAGAGUUCGAUACAGUUUUCAUCAACAUUCCUG